Gorilla gorilla gorilla (western lowland gorilla) is the source of this 157-nucleotide small nuclear RNA. Its record names the gene U1. It matches the Rfam family "U1 spliceosomal RNA". From Rfam's summary of the family: U1 is a small nuclear RNA (snRNA) component of the spliceosome (involved in pre-mRNA splicing). Its 5' end forms complementary base pairs with the 5' splice junction, thus defining the 5' donor site of an intron. The record is from Ensembl. Lineage: Eukaryota; Metazoa; Chordata; Mammalia; Primates; Hominidae.
AUAAUUACCUGGCAGCGGAGAUGAUAGCAUGAAGGUGGUUUUCCCAGGGCGAUGCUUUUUCCAUUGCACGCCGGUUGUGCUGACCCUGCGAUUAACCCAAAUGUGAGAAAUUCGGCUGCAUAAUAGCAGUGGAGGACUGCAUUAGUGCUUUCCGCUC